This 207-nucleotide ribosomal RNA is filed under the name uncultured bacterium. RNAcentral describes it as "partial 16S ribosomal RNA". It matches the Rfam family "Bacterial small subunit ribosomal RNA", at positions 568 to 774 of the family's 1533-position model. The record is from RNAcentral.
CGUGUAGGCGGUGUGGUAAGUCGGAUGUGAAAUCUCUAGGCUCAACCUGGAAACUGCAUUCGAAACUGCCAUGCUUGAGUACCGGAGAGGGAAACGGAAUUCCUGGUGUAGGGGUGAAACCUGUAGAUAUCAGGAAGAACACCGGUGGCGAAGGCGGUUUCCUGGCCGGAUACUGACGCUGAGGCGCGAAAGCUAGGGGAGCAAACA